This 1818-nucleotide long non-coding RNA is filed under the name Anas platyrhynchos platyrhynchos (common mallard). RNAcentral describes it as "lncRNA (ENSAPLG00000022320.1)". Lineage: Eukaryota; Metazoa; Chordata; Aves; Anseriformes; Anatidae. The record is from RNAcentral.
AUGGCGGAGAGCGGGAGCGAAAAGAGCCGCCGGGACGCACGCAGGGCGCCCGCACCGCCGGACGAUCUGCGUCCCGUGCAAGUAGCUAAACCAAAAAUACAGCGCAGGAGAUUUGAAGGUUUACGGGAUCUCGGUGCUACAAGCGGGCGCUGCGGCGGAGCUCGCCCUCGGAGGGAGCAGCGGAGCCGACGGGGAGCUCUCGGGGCGACCUUUUUGCAGCCUCCCUGCCACCAGCACCGUUCAGCCCUGGCCCUGGAGCACAGCUCCCUCCGGCUGCCCCCAAGCCCAAGCCCUUGCCGAGCGCGCAGCCACCGCGGGGCGCGGAGGUCGUGGGGAACAUCCUCGGUGAGGAGCCCAGCGGCCCUUCCCCUCCUCGGAGAGGGGUCUGGCAACAUGAGGCUUCCCCCUGGGGGUUGUGUUCUGUCUUUUUGUUAAUGACACUGUGCGCUUUUUAUAUUUGUUUUCUGGAAAAAAAAAAAGAAAAAUCUCUAUAAUUGGAAAUACACUAAUUUUGAGGGGCUGAAAAGCCCCGUUCACAAGGGCUGGCUUUGCAGCUGAGCACGUUCUCGCAAGGGCGUCCGCCUAAGUCCCGAAGCAAAACCUAAAAUCCCCGAGCGACCUCGUCAUAGGGGUAUGGCGGGCCCCCCUGCCCUGUGUAGGGCUCCCCCCAGCACCGUGCGGGCACAGACAGUGCGUGGCUGCACCCAGGGGCUCCUCUGCAAGCGGCGCUCCGGGCUGCGCGGGCUUGUGCGGGGCUGCGCGGGGUUGGCUCGCCCGAGAGGGCGCGCAGGGGGUCGGCGGGUCAAGCAGGUGUUCCCGGCUCCCAGGAGCUACUGUGUCGGUGUGACUGCGCGGGCUUCAUCGGCCGUGUUAUUUAUUUAUUUAUUUAUUUAUUUAUUUAUUUUUCCGUGCAUUUUGGGAUGAUUUAACUGAUCUCCGUGCUCCACAGAGAGCGGUCCAUCGCCUUACGCUUUGCCCCGCGCGUUGCCUUCAGCAGCGCACCUCUCGCAGCCUGAAUUCCUCUGCGCUGCUCUCCAGGCUGGUUCCCUCUCGUAUCCCAUUUUCCACGGGGAAUUUAUACACACAGCCGCACACGCUUCUUUCCAGGCGGCCAAUGAACAGGGUUUCGAAGCCGGUAGCCUCCUUUGUUUAACGAAGCGGCAUCAUUAGCUCCCCAUUAGCUGGCAGCGUCACAGCUCACGUCAUCAGUCCAAAUCACUGCGUUCUCACUCUCGCCGCGCUGCUCCCCUAAGUAAGCUGCCGGCUUUCUUAGCCCGCCAGCGAGAGAACCUAAGCCGCACCGGAGUGUUUAAUCCGGUGUAGAUAUUUAAUGUCAUACCGAUGGCUGGUUGCGGAGAGACCUGCCGGAUGAGCAAAGCGGGGUUUGGAUCCAAAGCCGCCCUUAGGUGGCGGUUCGCAAGCAGCUCGGGUGGCUCUUAGGCUGAGAUUCACCUUUAUCGUUUUAUAGUAAAUAAUAGGAAGAAUUUUAAGAGCAGACCCCAUUCUUCCGCGCGUACGUUGUUUUCUAUUGCAUUAUGCUUCGAACAAAGGAAGAACAGAAAAGGCAGUUUCUGUGUUAGGGUGUUAGAAUGGUUUCAAGUUAUCAUUUGCGGCAAGGACCAUGUUCAGGGAAGGGGGUUUUGCUUGCCAGACACUCAGAAGCGCGCAAAGAAAAUCAAACCCAGCAACAAUCAAAGUAACAACAAAAUACCCUAACCAAACAAGCCCAAAACCCCAACAAACCAAACCAAACCAAAAACAAAGCAAAAAGGCAACAGCAACAAUAAACAGAAGAUACCAAUAAACCUUAAAAAAAUA